This 2547-nucleotide ribosomal RNA is filed under the name Escherichia coli. RNAcentral describes it as "23S ribosomal RNA". It matches the Rfam family "Bacterial large subunit ribosomal RNA", at positions 398 to 2925 of the family's 2925-position model. Lineage: Bacteria; Pseudomonadati; Pseudomonadota; Gammaproteobacteria; Enterobacterales; Enterobacteriaceae. The record is from RNAcentral.
UGUGAGCUCGAUGAGUAGGGCGGGACACGUGGUAUCCUGUCUGAAUAUGGGGGGACCAUCCUCCAAGGCUAAAUACUCCUGACUGACCGAUAGUGAACCAGUACCGUGAGGGAAAGGCGAAAAGAACCCCGGCGAGGGGAGUGAAAAAGAACCUGAAACCGUGUACGUACAAGCAGUGGGAGCACGCUUAGGCGUGUGACUGCGUACCUUUUGUAUAAUGGGUCAGCGACUUAUAUUCUGUAGCAAGGUUAACCGAAUAGGGGAGCCGAAGGGAAACCGAGUCUUAACUGGGCGUUAAGUUGCAGGGUAUAGACCCGAAACCCGGUGAUCUAGCCAUGGGCAGGUUGAAGGUUGGGUAACACUAACUGGAGGACCGAACCGACUAAUGUUGAAAAAUUAGCGGAUGACUUGUGGCUGGGGGUGAAAGGCCAAUCAAACCGGGAGAUAGCUGGUUCUCCCCGAAAGCUAUUUAGGUAGCGCCUCGUGAAUUCAUCUCCGGGGGUAGAGCACUGUUUCGGCAAGGGGGUCAUCCCGACUUACCAACCCGAUGCAAACUGCGAAUACCGGAGAAUGUUAUCACGGGAGACACACGGCGGGUGCUAACGUCCGUCGUGAAGAGGGAAACAACCCAGACCGCCAGCUAAGGUCCCAAAGUCAUGGUUAAGUGGGAAACGAUGUGGGAAGGCCCAGACAGCCAGGAUGUUGGCUUAGAAGCAGCCAUCAUUUAAAGAAAGCGUAAUAGCUCACUGGUCGAGUCGGCCUGCGCGGAAGAUGUAACGGGGCUAAACCAUGCACCGAAGCUGCGGCAGCGACGCUNAUGCGUUGUUGGGUAGGGGAGCGUUCUGUAAGCCUGCGAAGGUGUGCUGUGAGGCAUGCUGGAGGUAUCAGAAGUGCGAAUGCUGACAUAAGUAACGAUAAAGCGGGUGAAAAGCCCGCUCGCCGGAAGACCAAGGGUUCCUGUCCAACGUUAAUCGGGGCAGGGUGAGUCGACCCCUAAGGCGAGGCCGAAAGGCGUAGUCGAUGGGAAACAGGUUAAUAUUCCUGUACUUGGUGUUACUGCGAAGGGGGGACGGAGAAGGCUAUGUUGGCCGGGCGACGGUUGUCCCGGUUUAAGCGUGUAGGCUGGUUUUCCAGGCAAAUCCGGAAAAUCAAGGCUGAGGCGUGAUGACGAGGCACUACGGUGCUGAAGCAACAAAUGCCCUGCUUCCAGGAAAAGCCUCUAAGCAUCAGGUAACAUCAAAUCGUACCCCAAACCGACACAGGUGGUCAGGUAGAGAAUACCAAGGCGCUUGAGAGAACUCGGGUGAAGGAACUAGGCAAAAUGGUGCCGUAACUUCGGGAGAAGGCACGCUGAUAUGUAGGUGAAGUCCCUCGCGGAUGGAGCUGAAAUCAGUCGAAGAUACCAGCUGGCUGCAACUGUUUAUUAAAAACACAGCACUGUGCAAACACGAAAGUGGACGUAUACGGUGUGACGCCUGCCCGGUGCCGGAAGGUUAAUUGAUGGGGUUAGCGCAAGCGAAGCUCUUGAUCGAAGCCCCGGUAAACGGCGGCCGUAACUAUAACGGUCCUAAGGUAGCGAAAUUCCUUGUCGGGUAAGUUCCGACCUGCACGAAUGGCGUAAUGAUGGCCAGGCUGUCUCCACCCGAGACUCAGUGAAAUUGAACUCGCUGUGAAGAUGCAGUGUACCCGCGGCAAGACGGAAAGACCCCGUGAACCUUUACUAUAGCUUGACACUGAACAUUGAGCCUUGAUGUGUAGGAUAGGUGGGAGGCUUUGAAGUGUGGACGCCAGUCUGCAUGGAGCCGNCCUUGAAAUACCACCCUUUAAUGUUUGAUGUUCUAACGUUGACCCGUAAUCCGGGUUGCGGACAGUGUCUGGUGGGUAGUUUGACUGGGGCGGUCUCCUCCUAAAGAGUAACGGAGGAGCACGAAGGUUGGCUAAUCCUGGUCGGACAUCAGGAGGUUAGUGCAAUGGCAUAAGCCAGCUUGACUGCGAGCGUGACGGCGCGAGCAGGUGCGAAAGCAGGUCAUAGUGAUCCGGUGGUUCUGAAUGGAAGGGCCAUCGCUCAACGGAUAAAAGGUACUCCGGGGAUAACAGGCUGAUACCGCCCAAGAGUUCAUAUCGACGGCGGUGUUUGGCACCUCGAUGUCGGCUCAUCACAUCCUGGGGCUGAAGUAGGUCCCAAGGGUAUGGCUGUUCGCCAUUUAAAGUGGUACGCGAGCUGGGUUUAGAACGUCGUGAGACAGUUCGGUCCCUAUCUGCCGUGGGCGCUGGAGAACUGAGGGGGGCUGCUCCUAGUACGAGAGGACCGGAGUGGACGCAUCACUGGUGUUCGGGUUGUCAUGCCAAUGGCACUGCCCGGUAGCUAAAUGCGGAAGAGAUAAGUGCUGAAAGCAUCUAAGCACGAAACUUGCCCCGAGAUGAGUUCUCCCUGACUCCUUGAGAGUCCUGAAGGAACGUUGAAGACGACGACGUUGAUAGGCCGGGUGUGUAAGCGCAGCGAUGCGUUGAGCUAACCGGUACUAAUGAACCGUGAGGCUUAACCUU